RNAcentral lists this ribosomal RNA (119 nucleotides) under Cottoperca gobio. Lineage: Eukaryota; Metazoa; Chordata; Actinopteri; Perciformes; Bovichtidae. The record is from RNAcentral.
GAUUACGGCCAUACCACACUGACAACGCCCAAUCUUGUCUGAUCUCGGAAGCUAAGCAGAGUUGAGCUAGGUCAGUACUUGGAUGGGUGACCGCGUGGGAAUACCCGGUGCUGUAAGCA